Molecule: ribosomal RNA, 392 nt
Filed under: uncultured bacterium
Lineage: Bacteria
Description: bacterial SSU rRNA
Rfam family: Bacterial small subunit ribosomal RNA
Source: RNAcentral
ACUCCUACGGGAGGCAGCAGUAGGGAAUAUUGGACAAUGGGGCGCAAGCCUGAUCCAGCCAUGCCGCGUGAGUGAAGAAGGCCCUCGGGUUGUAAAGCUCUUUUGUUGGGGAAGAAAAGCCUUGGGUUAAUACCCGGUCCGUGNCAGUUACCAAAGAAUAACACCGGCUAACUUCGUGCCAGCAGCCGCGGUAAUACGAAGGGUGCAAGCGUUACUCGGAAUUACUGGGCGUAAAGCGUGCGUAGGCGGCUUUGUAAGUCGGAUGUGAAAGCCCCGGGCUUAACCUGGGAAUGGCAUUCGAUACUCGCAGAGCUAGAGUAUGGUAGAGGGAAGUGGAAUUUGCCGGUGUAGCGGGUGAAAUGCGGUAGAUAUCGGAAGGAACACCGGUGGCG